CCUACGGGAGGCAGCAGUGGGGAAUAUUGCACAAUGGGGGAAACCCUGAUGCAGCGACGCCGCGUGAGUGAAGAAGUAAUUCGUUGUGUAAAGCUCUAUCAGCAGGGAAGAAAAUGACGGUACCUGAGUAAGAAGCCCCGGCUAACUACGUGCCAGCAGCCGCGGUAAUACGUAGGGGGCAAGCGGUAUCCGGAUUUACUGGGUGUAAAGGGAGCGUAGGCGGCAGUGCAAGUCUGGAGUGAAAGGCGGGGGCCUAACCCCCGGACUGCUCUGGAAACUGUGCGGCUAGAGUGCAGGAGAGGUAAGUGGAAUUCCUGGUGUAGCGGUGAAAUGCGUAGAGAUUAGGAGGAACACCAGUGGCGAAGGCGGCAUACUGGACUGUAACUGACGUUGAGGCUCGAAAGCGUGGGGAGCAAACAGGAUUAGAUACCCCGGUAGUC
RNAcentral lists this ribosomal RNA (440 nucleotides) under uncultured bacterium. RNAcentral's name for it is "partial 16S ribosomal RNA". It matches the Rfam family "Bacterial small subunit ribosomal RNA", at positions 338 to 795 of the family's 1533-position model. The record is from RNAcentral.